Molecule: non-coding RNA, 4233 nt
Organism: Amborella trichopoda
Lineage: Eukaryota; Viridiplantae; Streptophyta; Magnoliopsida; Amborellales; Amborellaceae
Source: RefSeq, a predicted model, not a curated record
GUUUUUUUAUUGCUUGUUAUCAAGGAGUAUAGAGAUGUUUCUGUGAUAUGGAGAUUUGAUGGGCUCUCGGAAGAAGAAUGAAUGCUCUGCUCUGCUCUGCCUAGGGAGCUUUGGGUGCCAUGGGAGAGAAAAGCUCCUGCCCAAGUACGCAUAUCUCGCUAAUCCCUCCCACUCCUCGAUUCUAUCCCAUCCCUACCUGCCCAGCCCCUUAGUGUUGUCCCCUGGAUCGUUCGAUCCCCCCUGCUUUGCCACUGCACCGACCCCUUCUCUCUGCCUUGCCCUUCUGUGCUGGUUGGUACUCUUGUCCUGGCAAUUUCUGCUAAGCUAUCAGUGGCUCUCGUCGGUUCAUUCUAUCAGACUAUCUAAGGGGUAUCGAGAGAUGGGCCCAAAGACUUUAGGGUUGUCCCGACCUCAGUUGCAGGAGACUUUCAGCUGGGAAGACUCUCUUCAUCUUUCCUUUGGCAAGUUCUGUCCCCAUCUACGCAAAGACCGACCUUGCGAAGUUUAGAGGAGCCUCACUUUUUCUUUCUCCCUGGCCCCUGGAGGAAGGGGCAUUCAAACUUCAGAAAGUGUGGGUCAGAUUUUUCGACAUCCCUCUCCACAUUUGGACAGCAGAAACGUUCUGCACCCUGGGUAAGGCAUGUGGCUCAUUAAUGACACUGGAAAUCGAUGGAACUACUCCCUAUGGGAGCUAUGCAGGUGUUGGUCGAAAUCAUGGACCUAGAUUUUAUUCCUAUAGCCCUUUGGCUAGUGGUGGAAGGUCAUUUCUACAAGGUACGGUGUGCAUGGAAAAACAUCGAAGUGCUUGACUCUAUCUCUGAGAAUCUAGCCUAGGUUCAGAAGGCUUUGAUCGACUAUUUCCAAAAUAUUGUCUCUGCCCCUCUCAGCCCUAAACAUACCCUAAGUAAUCUUUCUUUCCUUUCUCUCCCCUCCAAGAAGGCUAGUUGGGUAGAGCAACCUUCUUUCGAAGAGGAAAUUCUCAAGGCCAUUCACGAUCUUGGCUAAGACAAAGCCCCCAGCCCUGAUGGUUUUCCGGUCACCAUCUUUAGCACUUUUUGGCAUGUCUUGUGACAAGAUGCCAUUGCUUUCUUUUAGGAGUUCCAUGCUAGGGGCAUCGUCCAUAAAGCCCUCAAUGCUUUGUUCAUCACUAUUAUACCGAAGAUUGAAAGGCCAGAGGAACCGAAGGACUUCGGACCUAUAAACCUCCUAAAUAACUGGUAUAAGAUUUUGGCCAAAGUGUUAGCAUCUCAAAUAAGAGAAGUGCUCAGUCUUGUUAUUUGUCCUCAACAUGGUGCUUUCGUGAAAGACCGCCAGAUUCUUGAUGGUGCUCUAGUAACCCAAGUCUUCUGGCCUUAUUGUGAAAUCUAACUGGGACAAAGCCUAUGAUCACAAGCCCCCACUUUUUGUUGUUAGUCAAUAGCUCACCUAGGGGCUUCUUCCCUUAUUUUAGAGGUUUGCGCCAGGGUGAUCCACUGUCCCCUUUCUCUUUACUAUUGUCGCGGAAGUCUUUAGCCAAUCCAUUCCUGCCUCUACAGUGUUAACGUGCUUAACGGCUUUAAGUGCGUGCCCAAUAGUCCUUCAUCCUUCACCGGUUCCUUAAGAUCUUUGAGUGGACCAUGGGACUCAAGAUCAACUUUGGGAAGUCUAACAUGAUCAGGAUUGCUCCAUGAUCAACUUUGUCGAGAGUUGGGGAUGGGCAAUCGAGAACCUUCCUUCGUCAUAUCUCGGACUCCCCCUUUGCAUAGGCAAACCUAUGCCUAGUGCUUGGGCAUACAUCAUUGACAAGUUUGAUCAUAGGCUUGCAUAUUGGAAAGGCUACUUCCUAUCACCGACUGGUAGAACUACACACAUUAAGGCAACCCUCUCAGGUAUUUCAAUUUUUCAAAUGUCUCUCUUAAGAAUGCUGGUGACAGUCAUUGCCCUCAUUUGCAAUCUUAAGUUUACCAACAUUGCCCUCAUGGGUAAAUGGUGGUGGCGCUUUGCCAUGCAAUCCAAUCAUCUAUGGUAGUCGGUCCUCUAGCAGAAGUACCACUUGCCUAUUGGCUGCCACCUUGGUCUUAUAAAAGGGCGUAAGGGAUUUGGGCUGCGUUGCAAAGCAUUCUCAAGAUCUUCAAUCCCAACAUGCGUGUGCGUGCACACGAAGGCCUGCGGACGAAAUUGUGGUGUGACCUAUGGUUGGGUCCCUCUUCUCUCUCUAACAGCUUCCCUUCUCUCUUUCGGCUGAUGCUUAAUAGGCAGGAGUUAGUCUCAGAUGUAUUCCAAGUGCUCUAUCAUAGGCAACUGUGGACUCCAAUCUUCAGAAGGUCGCCCUCCGAGGAUGAAAUGCUUGAGUGCCUCGAGUUUUUCUCGCUCAUGGAUUCGACCUUUAUGCCUUUUAUGUGCAGUGAUAGGCUCAUUUGGUGCCCUUCUCCCUCGGGAGUAUUUUCGGUCUUCUCCUUAUAUCGCAAGCUCAUUCAGCCUCCCACCUUUCCCCUUAAUCCCCCAUCCGUUGCUGCCAAGGCUUGGUUUCCACUAAUUCAGUUUUUCAAUUGCUUGGUCCUCCAUCAAAGAGCACUCACGGUCAACCAACUUCAGAGGAGAGGGAUCCCGAUGCCUAAUCGUUGCACGAUGUGCUUUGAAACAGAGGAAAUUAAUGACCACAUGUUUAUUCAUUGCCCACUUGCCGUUGCUCUGUGGGGUCGCCUCCUCAUCCUCUUCCACAGGCAGUGGGUCAUACCACUAUUUAUCCCUCUUCCUUUUUUCCUCUCUUCAGCCGUACACCUGGCUGAAGUCAGACAUUCUCCUUUGGAAUGCUUCCACCCUGGCUCUUAUUUGGAUGGUUUGGAUAGAGCGCAAUAACCUCAUCUUCCAAGGCCAAUUCAGGUCCACCGAUUCUCUCUUCCAUAAAAUGAAAUCCCUGGUGUCCUUUUGGGCAGCCAAUCGUAAGUAGUUAAGAGGGGUCCAAUCAGCGGCUCUUCUCAGUGAUUGGCAACACCUAUGCUAUCUCUCGUAGUACAGGGUACCUCAAUCCUCCUUCUGGACGCCACCUAGACCAAGGGCAAUCAAGUUAAACUUUGACAGGCGUCCUCUGGGAAAUCCUGGACCUACUGGUAUUGGUGGUCUCUUCUGGAAUAGGGAGGGCCAGAUUUUGAGCUCCUUUUCAAGUCGAUCAGCAAAAGCGCUCGCCCUCCUUGAAGGGAUUGAACUAUUUACUCAUUGCCUGUCCGUACCUUUGGUAGCUGAAGGAAACUCACACAAUGUCAUUCGGUGGGUCUCCUCGGCCGACUCCUACCUGUGGACCCUCUCUCAGAUCUUUGAAGAAAUAGCCCAGUUGGGCUCGGGGAUUGCUGUCUCUUGGAACCAUUUCUUGAGAGAGAGCCACACGCUUGCAGCUGCCCGGGCCAAAGAGGGAGCCACAAUCCCUUUGCCCAAGUCUCAACAUUGCGCCAGGCAAUGUGACCCAUCAUGAAUAUAUUCAGGUUGGCAAAGGACGAGAUGUUGGGCUGAAUCAAAUUGCUUCAUUUGAAGGAAAAGUGGCUGUUGGGAAUGGUGAACAAGUUCUUAGUAGGGAUGUGUAUAGACUUGGGCAACUCUUUGAUUUCUUCCGCAUGCUUUCCUUCUACUAUACCACAGUCGGCUUUUACUUUUGUACAAUGUUGACUGUGCUGACUGUAUAUAUAUUUCUAUAUGGGAAUAUAUAUUUGGCACUAUCUGGAGUAGGCCAAAGUCUUGUGGGUUCAACACUGCUUUGAAUGCGGCCCACAACACGCAGUUCUUGUUCUAGAUUGGUAUCUUUACAGCAGUUCCCAUGAUUUUGGGUUUCAUUUUGGAGCAGGGUCUUUUUUAAGGCCAUUGUCAGCUUUCUUACUAAGCAGUUCAGCUUUGUUCUGUCUUUUUCACAUUUUCCCUUGGUACAAGGACUCACUACUUUGGUCGAACAAUUCUCCAUGGUGGUGCGAGGUUGGUUCAUGGCACCAUCAUGGCUUUUUGCUCCCUAUCUUUUCGAUCCUUCUGGUUUUGAAUGGAAGAAGGUGGUUGAGGAUUUUGAGGACUGGACGAACUGGCUCUUUUACCGAGGUGGUGUUGGAGUAAAGGGUGAGGAAAGCUGGGAAACAUGGUGGGAUGAAGAACAUGUAUUUGGUUUUUAAAAUUGUUCACACUUGGUUGAGAGGAACCCCUUUCCCCAUUUCAAGGGGGACAUGUACCUAAAUAGGCCAAGGAUUGCAUUAAUUACAGCUAAAUAUUUGACAUCUU